Nicotiana sylvestris (wood tobacco) is the source of this 116-nucleotide non-coding RNA. Lineage: Eukaryota; Viridiplantae; Streptophyta; Magnoliopsida; Solanales; Solanaceae. The record is from Rfam.
AAAGGAGGCGUCCAAAGGGAUCGCAUUGAUCCCAUUUCAUUUGUGUUUCUAUAUUUCUUUCCAGAAAUAAUUAAAAUACUGAGUUUGGAUCAUGCUAUCCCUUUGGACUCAUCCUU